This is a long non-coding RNA of Lycium barbarum (goji berry), 872 nucleotides long. RefSeq lists it as uncharacterized. Lineage: Eukaryota; Viridiplantae; Streptophyta; Magnoliopsida; Solanales; Solanaceae. The record is from RefSeq and is a predicted model, not a curated record. The transcript is spliced from 3 exons.
GAUAAGGUUCUACAUCUCAGGUAAUACUUAGUUUUUUAAAUUACUACUUAAUCAAUUUUAGAGUUUUAAAUGCCCUUCUAACAACUUAAAUGUCACUUGGACUACUUCUGCUGGUGCAUCUUUCAAUGGAAGGGGAAGAGGAGAAGGCUCUGCAUCUCAGACUACUUUUGCUAGUGCAUCUUUCAAUGGAAGGGGAAGAGGGACGCCAUUUCAAAGGACAAGGAUGAUUGGAAUGGGUGUGCUUCAAACUCAAAGUGGUUUUAAAAUUGUCAAUCCUGGAAUGCCAAAUAGUCAUUCAACUAUGCCUAUGAAUUUAGCUAUAGUGACUGGAAGCCUUGGGCAUCACAAACCAAGACCAAGAGGGUUAAAAUGGAAAUGAACUCCUGCUAUAACCCAACAGGGGCUUCAAGAGAUGAGAGGACAAAAGAGAAUGAGACUAAGAUCCUAGGCUACUGAAUUGAAUCAUUUGAGUCAAACAAGUUCAUCAACUGCCCAGUAGAUGAAAUGCAAAAAUGUGGACAACUAUGUUGUGUGUACAACUGAUUGACUGGUUUUUUUGUUAAACAAUUAUGCAGCUGUGACUGCACUAGUUAGUUAAUCUAAUUUUAGGAGAAGGUUCAAUUAUGCAGCUGUGACUGCACUAGUUAGUUAAUCUAAUUUUAGGAGAAGGUUCAAUUAUGCAGCUGUGACUGCAUUAGUUAGUUAAUCUAAUUUUAGUUUAGAAACAAUAUGCAGUUGUGACUGCACUAGUUAGUUAAUCUAAUUUUGGUUUGGAAAUAAUUAUGCAGUUGUGACUGCAAUUUGGUGUCAGCUUGUUGCUCUAAUUUUGCCCUGUAUUGACAAUGAAGUGUUGUAAUAUUAAGCAUCUGUGA